AACUGAUAAGAGCUUUUGUAGAUUUUAGUAAUGAUGUCCCUGAAUACCAAGUGAGCUGCAUCUAAAGAGACCCACAGGAAUUAAUAAAAAUGUCUCCAAUUUCAUGGCCGCAGUGGUUUCCUGCUUUUGAGAGAUCACAAAAGAAAAUCACUGAAUGCCACAAUUUAAUUAUGUAUUUCAGGGUGUCUCUGGAUGUAUUGCUCCUUUUUGGAAAUUCUGCAUCCCCAUUCUGGUCCCUCUCUUUGUCUUUCCCCAUCAUUCCACGUCACGCUUUCAUUUUUCUUUUACUUUCUCUCAGCACUCAUUUCCAUUUCUUUUCCUCUUUUUUUUUUCUUAUUUCAAAUUUCUCAUUCAGAUCUCAUCCCCUGUCCUUUCUGUCUUGCCCGGCCCCCUCCUUUUUUUGUACCCUUGUGUUCUCUUUUAUAUUGCUGCCUCUCUCCACCAGUGCUCUGAUUCAUUCCUCCUCUGCUUCACUCUUUUACAUGGGCAGGUGGCAGAGCAGCUGGCCUACUAUGGCCAUGUGUCAGAGACAGUAAUCACAGAGGAGAUGUUUGACGCCGCUGUGCAAUUUGGCACAGUGCAGGGUGACCCCACCCAGAGCUGAGCAAGACGACCUGUUUGGAUAGCCCCCCGGUUGCCCCAAGCACCGACUGGGAAAGGAGCAUCAAGGACGGCUCACCUCACACCUCAACGGCCUCGCAGGUGGGCUCCUCAGGGGAAGAGGGGGAGACGGUUGGCUGUCAAAUGACACGAGGCGGCAGAUCUACAAAAGAUGAGUAAUGAGAUCAUUCGCCUGUGCUUCCAAAGCAUCUCCCUGGACAAGAUCUUUAAGGGCUAUGUGAUCCCCAGCAAGCAAAACCUCAGCAAUUUCAUCCAGCGAUUCCACUCCUGGAAGGAAAGUUACCUGCACGCCUCACAGGUUUACCGCAAGAACCGUUAUGAGAUGUGGUUAUUAAGGAGUUAUGUUGAUGAUCUCUACUCGAGCCAGACUCGUGCUGCGCUUGGCUGUCUGUCUUUUGACAUCAUCACACAACACCUGCUCUUCAUAAGGUAAAACUACUGGCUGAAGACACAACUCUGGCCAGGAAUCCAAGGCCCAAAGCCACCGCGGUCAGGGUUGUUAGCCUGGUUACAAACAGGGGAAAGGUGGUCACUUGGAAGAACAAGCAGCCAAAACGUAUCAAUCCUGCAUCUUCCUCAAAAAGGUUUGCUACCAACCUUUUCAGGCCUGACUUCGUUCGAGGCUGGGUCUCCACAUCACAUCCUGGGAGCUGGAACUUCCCCAAAACUGGUCCAGUUUCCUUGUCAGGGGCACAGAGAGUCUCCAGUCCAGUGUUUGUUUUCCUGCCUUCCAGCACAUCCACUCACAUCCCAAUAAGAAUGAGUCCUCCCUCCAACAUCCUCAGUUUACUUUAAAAGCAAAACCAGGCCAGGUUAAAAAUCUUCUCCAUUAAAAUGUGCACACUUCAUCCUGGAUCUUCGAGGCUUCCCUGCUUCAUCAGUGUCCUACUAAAAAAAUAACGACAACCCCUACUUCCUGUUUCCUCUCCCCUUUAUAGAGAAGGGCUCCAAUCCUCCCCAAUCAGCUGCUCCCUGUAUUCAACUCCAAAUAGCUGGCAGCUGGACUAGAGUAGAAUCUCCACUCCCACAUGGGUGUGGCCCACACCUCACAUCAAACACAAAAAAAACACCAAAGCAUGCAAUUAAUACAAAACAAAAUCUAAAGAAAUGCCAACCCAAAAGCUUAGUGGGGGAUUCUCUCCAUCCUUUUCCACCAUGCUAUACUCUGUAACAGUACCGUUAAGAAAUUAUGCUUGCCCUGCUGGCCACUAACUUCCUCUCCACACUGAAAAGAUUGAUAAUGCAGCACUAACUAUGUGUACAUAGUAAUCUCACUUUGAUUAUUUGAACAUUGUCGUUAUUCAUAACGUUAAACUUCUAAACUUUAUGUCAAGCUGACUGUUCAGAACACACCUGUAUGUUAACAAGUUCUGGAAAAGCUAGAUGGUUAUGUUAAGCAUUUUUUUCAGAGAGUGUGUUGCUGUGAAUUUUGGGAUAACAUUACUUCCCUCCAGAUUAGAUGGUUCGGUGUAUCUUUUGGAAAAGGAGGUAAGAAAGGAGGUGUUGAAGCACCUUUUCACAGUGUUUAAAUCUUUUUAUGGCCACCACUCAGAUACUUCCUUCACCCAUUUAAGCCACAGUCACACAGGCCUGUCAGUAGCUAUCGCCUGGCAACCACCGUUGCUUGGUAAAAAUGUUUAUUCCCUGACCGGUAAGCAAAUGGUUGCUGGAAGGUGCCCGCUGUCGCUAGGUGAAAUUUGUUACAAAGUGGUAAAUGGUGCUACACUUUUUACAAGUCAACUCGUCUCUUUCCAUGUAAGCCAUGGUUGACUGUGGCAAUGAAAGUAAUCAGUGCUGCACCCUCUGUGUGGCCGAUUUCCCCAACUGACAGCCAGCAACCUCCAGCAACCUCCAGCAACAAUUUGCCUACCAUUUAGGGAAUACAAUUGGGCUGGAGACGUCCCAUGUGACUGAAGACUUAGCAAAAUUCUUUAAAAGCAAGAUGUGGACACAAAUCGUUACUCGGAACCAAGAUUGUUCAAGAAUUUCAUUAAACAGUUGAAAAUGAAAUGUUUUUAACUACCUGACAUGGAAAAGCCACACCAAAAUAGGGUGUACAUAGGGUACCACCAUGUUCAGCUAUAGGCUGAGCUAAACACAUUUUGUUAAUUUGCCCUCGCUAAUCCUACUCAUCUGUUUUUAUUUAGAUGAAUUUUGAUUCUACUUUGUUUCACCCUGGAUUCACCAAAGUCCGUCUCUCCCUCUUUCAGCCUCCCAUUUCCACUGUGAGCAGCAACUAUAAACUUUUGUGUCUUCAGGAUUACCUUUCCAUCACGGGAUGAAUGAAGUGUGAAAAGCAAUCUGAGAAUCGCCAGGCCACUUCUGCGGAUGCAAUUAUGCCAAUGGCAGAUCAUUUUCUGACCUUUAUCCUCCAGCCAGUGUUGAUGGCAGUUUGCCACUGUGACAGACUGCUUUUUGUUUUCAUGUAUUUUACAGUUGUGUGACAGCUGAAAACCUGGCUCUUAAAGGCUGAGGUGCUCAUCCGUUUGAAAGACAGCCUGACUUUUUGUGCUGCUCUUUUUCUUUCGCUCUCUAUUUACUUAUGUUGUGUAUGUCCCUGUCAGUGUAACAUUCUCAUUAUUUCUUUACUGCCACUUCUGUCUCCUUCCCUCUCUCUCUUCCUCUGUAUUUUUUGUCCCAUUUCUCUCUUUCUGUCUCCGUAUUACGUGUAUUUCUAUCAGGUAUUUUCCAAAGUCUGUGUCCAGGACCAAACCAGUGUUUUUGUUCUGGCUGAUGCCUUCAUUCAAAGGUUCACGGUCCUGCUUCAGGUAAAUUGCUCCUUCUGACAAACAACCACGAGCACAGAUACAGACACACACCUUUGAACGUAGUGUUGUAGUCCAGUUUCUCAAUUCUGCAGGUUUGUGCUUUUCCAUCCAUUUCAUCUUGUUGUCAAGCUGGUUUUGUCACGUGUUGUAUUUUUGCAUUUGCACAUAGUCCUGUUUACCUGUGCUCAUAUGUUUUUGCUAUUUUGCAAACUGGUGAGCUGUCAUCUCUCAUGGAAUACAUAGUCUGUCUCAUUUGUGAAGAUUUCCUGCAUUAUUUUUUUUUAAAUUCCUGUUUCCCUUUUCCUCCUCAAUUAAAAUCAAAAUACAAAAUACAUUUCUCCUAAAAAAAUUAUUGAUUCGAUUGCAGUUCUGUGACAUAAGUACAUUUCACACUGAUUUCCAAAUUGACUUGUCUAUGAACUCUCCAUUCUACUUGUAUAAUUUACACUCUUAUCACUGCUAC
This is a long non-coding RNA of Astatotilapia calliptera (eastern happy), 3852 nucleotides long. NCBI's taxonomy places the organism in Eukaryota, Metazoa, Chordata, Actinopteri, Cichliformes, Cichlidae. The record is from Ensembl.